GCGGUGCGGCGGCUUACCAUGCAGUCGAGCGGAGAGAGGUAGCUUGCUACUGAUCUUAGCGGCGGACGGGUGAGUAAUGCUUAGGAAUCUGCCUAUUAGUGGGGGACAACAUUUCGAAAGGAAUGCUAAUACCGCAUACGUCCUACGGGAGAAAGCAGGGGAUCUUCGGACCUUGCGCUAAUAGAUGAGCCUAAGUCGGAUUAGCUAGUUGGUGGGGUAAAGGCCUACCAAGGCGACGAUCUGUAGCGGGUCUGAGAGGAUGAUCCGCCACACUGGGACUGAGACACGGCCCAGACUCCUACGGGAGGCAGCAGUGGGGAAUAUUGGACAAUGGGCGCAAGCCUGAUCCAGCCAUGCCGCGUGUGUGAAGAAGGCCUUAUGGUUGUAAAGCACUUUAAGCGAGGAGGAGGCUACUUUAGAUAAUACCUAGAGAUAGUGGACGUUACUCGCAGAAUAAGCACCGGCUAACUCUGUGCCAGCAGCCGCGGUAAUACAGAGGGUGCAAGCGUUAAUCGGAUUUACUGGGCGUAAAGCGCGCGUAGGCGGCUAAUUAAGUCAAAUGUGAAAUCCCCGAGCUUAACUUGGGAAUUGCAUUCGAUACUGGUUAGCUAGAGUGUGGGAGAGGAUGGUAGAAUUCCAGGUGUAGCGGUGAAAUGCGUAGAGAUCUGGAGGAAUACCGAUGGCGAAGGCAGCCAUCUGGCCUAACACUGACGCUGAGGUGCGAAAGCAUGGGGAGCAAACAGGAUUAGAUACCCUGGUAGUCCAUGCCGUAAACGAUGUCUACUAGCCGUUGGGGCCUUUGAGGCUUUAGUGGCGCAGCUAACGCGAUAAGUAGACCGCCUGGGGAGUACGGUCGCAAGACUAAAACUCAAAUGAAUUGACGGGGGGCCCGCACAAGCGGUGGAGCAUGUGGUUUAAUUCGAUGCAACGCGAAGAACCUUACCUGGCCCUUGACAUAGUAAGAACUUUCCAGAGAUGGAUUGGUGCCCUUCGGGAACUUACAUACAGGUGCUGCAUGGCUGUCGUCAGCUCGUGUCGUGAGAUGUUGGGUUAAGUCCCGCAACGAGCGCAACCCUUUUUCUUAUUUGCCAGCGAGUUAUGUCGGCACUUUACGGAUACUGCAGUGACCAACCUGGAGGAGCAGGACGACGUCAGUCAUCAUGAUCUAACGGACCAGGACUC
RNAcentral lists this ribosomal RNA (1182 nucleotides) under Acinetobacter sp. ZPP1. RNAcentral's name for it is "bacterial SSU rRNA". It matches the Rfam family "Bacterial small subunit ribosomal RNA", at positions 39 to 1217 of the family's 1533-position model. The record is from RNAcentral. Lineage: Bacteria; Pseudomonadati; Pseudomonadota; Gammaproteobacteria; Moraxellales; Moraxellaceae.